Small nuclear RNA from Heterocephalus glaber (naked mole-rat), 124 nucleotides. The record is from Ensembl. Lineage: Eukaryota; Metazoa; Chordata; Mammalia; Rodentia; Bathyergidae.
GUGCUGUACAAGAGAAGAGAAGGUUAGCUCUCCCCUCAACAAGGAUAGAGGAGACCCUUGGGCCUGUUAACAGCACACAGUUAAAGCACUACCCCCUACUUGUGGCAUCAAUAGGAGACAUAGA